This 1852-nucleotide long non-coding RNA is filed under the name Sus scrofa (pig). Its description in RNAcentral is "lncRNA (ENSSSCG00015039333.1)". Lineage: Eukaryota; Metazoa; Chordata; Mammalia; Artiodactyla; Suidae. The record is from RNAcentral.
CCUUUUCCCCAAACCCGCAGGCCACCCUCUCGCUGCACCCUUGCUGCGGGUCUGCCUGGCCUUGCUCUCCAUCUGAUGGACAGCUGAUACCCAGGGGACACCGGUUGGUAGCCUUGGACUUCUCAGCUUAAUCGCCCUGGCUUUAAUGCCACUUAAAUCAGAAUGUAAGCACUGAAGGAAUUUCAGGAAUCCGAUGAUAUAAAUUGUAUUUUUAGAGCCGUGAAUGACUUGAGCGAGUGAAACAGUGCAGUGACUGAAGAGAAUUCUCUCCCGUUUCCCAUGAUUUAUCACAGGCGAGGUCACGGCAGGUUAAAAUACUUGAACGCCGCGAUAGCAUACGUCCUGGCAUGGUUUUAUGAGUAGUCAUUCAUAACAUAUUUGUCGCAAAGCAUAAUUUCCAAGAUAGAACCCUGAUCCACAUGCAGUUUUUUUUUUCACAGCAACAACACAGGCGCAGUAACUCCUUCGUGGAGACUGCUUCCAUUUUCACAAUGUCCAGCUCCACGCUAGAGCUUCGGGGAAAGGGACCGAGGAAGUGACUGGUUCGCCAACUGAAACUCCCUGGGACAGACAAGACUGGGAGCCUUGGUGAAAGGGAGGAGACCCUGUGUCCCCGGUUUUGCCAAGUCAGCCUGGCCCAUCCUCUGACGGCUAAAUCAACACUCUUUAUCCUGUGGCGACUGAUAACGCAUCCACCGCUUCCUGCCAAGGAGGAAAUCCUGAUGGGACAUUAUCAGGGGCGAGACAUCAUCCGUCAGCCGCCGUCACAGGAACCCAGGGCUCAUCCAGACCCCACGCCAAUCUUUCCGCCUUUAUCUGCGCUCCCCAAAUGCCUCAGCCUGUUUGCUGAUAGAGGAAUCCGGCAUCUCCUUUUCUCAAGGACCCGAAAAAGAUUCUUCGAUAGCAAGAAACUAAGAGCUCCCCAUCGGCUGGACGUAACCAAAAGUCAGAGGGCAAACAGAGGCACCUAUGGACGCUGGCUGGAUUGGUCAGCCUGCUGGUCACCGCCCCCACCGCUCCCACCCUCACCCCUGCCUGAAGGAUGGGACAGAGGAAAAUGGAAGAUGAAAAAAAGAAGUUAUCGGAAGAUAUCCAGAAUGGCUGUGAUAAGGCGUAGGGUUUAAUUCUGAGGGCAUGGGGAAGGCCCCCCGGGGAGUUUUGAGCAAAGGAGUACUUUAAACGGAUUUAUGUUAAAAAAAGAUCAAUCUGGGAGUUCCCUGGUGGCUCAGCAGGUUAAGAAUCUGGCGUUGUCACUGUAGCAGCUUGGGUUACUACUGUGUAGCCAUAAAGUUCCAUCCCUGGCUCCAGAACUUUUGCAAGUGCUGGACCAGCCAAAAAAAAAAAAAAAGAAAGAAAGAAAGAAAGAAAGAAAAAAAAAGAAAAGAAAAGAAAAGAGAAGAAAUGAAAUGAAAUGAAACAUCAGGCUUCCAUGUAGAGAAUGGACUUUUGGGGGACAAGACUGGAAGCUGGGAGAGUAUUUAUGAGAUUGUUUCAUCUAAAUUAAAAGUUCAAGGAGUUCCCGUCGUGGCACAGUGGUUAACGAAUCCGACUAGGAACCAUGAGGUUGCGGGUUCAACCUCUGGCCUUGCUCAGUGGGUUAAGGAUCCGGCGUUGCCGUGAGCUGUGGUGUAGGUUGCAGACGCGGCUCGGAUCCUGCGUUGUUGUGGCUCUGGCGUAGGCCGGUGGCUACAGCUCCCAUUGGACCCCUAGCCUGGGAAUCUCCAUAUGCAGUGGGAGCGGCCCAAGAAAUAGCAAAAAGACAGAAAAAAAAAAUUAAAAGUUCAUGUUGAGGUGGUCUUGCAUGGUGGCUGAAGAUAAAGACAAAUAAAUAUAUUUAGGAAACAUACUGGCA